UACGGAGGGUGCAAGCGUUGUCCGGAAUCACUGGGCGUAAAGGGCGCGUAGGCGGUACUUCAAGUCAGGCGUGAAAGCCCCGGGCUCAACCUGGGAACCGCGCUUGAGACUGGAGAACUAGAGUUCGGGAGAGGAUGGUGGAAUUCCCAGUGUAGAGGUGAAAUUCGUAGAUAUUGGGAAGAACACCGAUGGCGAAGGCAGCCAUCUGGACCGACACUGACGCUGAGGCGCGAAAGCGUGGGGAGCAAACAGG
This 253-nucleotide ribosomal RNA is filed under the name uncultured bacterium. RNAcentral describes it as "partial 16S ribosomal RNA". It matches the Rfam family "Bacterial small subunit ribosomal RNA", at positions 524 to 776 of the family's 1533-position model. The record is from RNAcentral.